RNAcentral lists this long non-coding RNA (227 nucleotides) under Elaeis guineensis (African oil palm). Its description in RNAcentral is "long non-coding RNA (EGUI_LNC064996)". The record is from RNAcentral. Lineage: Eukaryota; Viridiplantae; Streptophyta; Magnoliopsida; Arecales; Arecaceae.
UAUCCUCUAAAAGUUCAUCUUCAACCUCUAAAAUAGUUUUAAAAAUUUAAAGAGAAGAUCUAGAUCAGCCAAGAAGAAUGUCUUCGCACGAGCUAGCACUACCAAGAAGAUCGAUUAGAUCGGAGCUUCGAGUGGAUUUCUCAUAGAGGCCAGAUGCGUGUGUGGCUAUGAGCAACUAGCAAAGAUCCUCUCUACCAUAUCUCUCAAUAGUGGUGAUCAUCGACCCA